This is a long non-coding RNA of Mauremys reevesii (Reeves's turtle), 853 nucleotides long. RefSeq lists it as uncharacterized. Lineage: Eukaryota; Metazoa; Chordata; Testudines; Geoemydidae. The transcript is spliced from 3 exons. The record is from RefSeq and is a predicted model, not a curated record.
CAUCCCCCACAGACACCCCCAAUCCGUCCCCACAUACCUCAUUCCUACAUCCCUCCCAAAACAUCCUCUGUCCCCCCACAGACACCCCUAGACCCCACACACCGUCCCUAGACACCUCAUUCCUACACCCCCAGAGACCCCUGCAACAUCCCCCAGAUACCCCCACAACAGCCCCCAACACCAUCCCCAGACACCUCAUUCCUACACCUCCACAACAUCUCCCAACUCCACACCCCCACAACAUCCCCCAGCCCCUCAACAGACACCUCCAGCACCACAACCCCCACACCAUCCCCAGACCCCUCAUUCCUAUACCCCCGACACCCCCUCAAUAUCCCCUGCCCCCCACAGACACCCCCUAUACCUUCCAGUCACCCCCAACACCACACCCCCUACACCAUCCCCAGACACUUCACUCCUAUACCCCCAGACACCCCCUACACACCCACAACAAUCUCCCAGACACCCACAACACCACACCCCCAACCCUAACUGAGUAUCACCUGAACCAGCUGGGCCACAGGAAGGCAGCGGGCACACAACUACAAUUACACCUUCAGUCUGCAUGGGGCUGCAGAAAAAAAAAGCCAGGCAACUUCUCUGAAUCCCAGGCAGAGAGGAGCAGCAGCAGCAGCAACACCUUUUUCAGCUGAUUCUGUGUGUUAAUAUCCUAACCCACUGCUGUCCAAGGGGCAUGUAACUGUCUGCUGUAGAGACCAAGGCCGGGAAGCAUAGUACUGGCAGGAAAUCAAGAUGCUUUCAUAUCCAACCAUUUCCCUUCCCCCAGCCUUGUUUCUUUCUCUCUGUUCAAUGUAUUAUGUUUUGACAGUAUCCCUUUGGACUUUUCAUAAAC